AGUAAAGUGGCGCACGGGUGAGUAACGCGUGGGUAAUCUACCUCUGAAUUGGGGAUAACAUUGUGAAAGCGAUGCUAAUACCGAAUAAUAUCCCGAGAACUUAGGCUUUUGGGAUCAAAGGUGGCCUCUACAUGUAAGCUACUGUUUAGAGAUGAGCCCGCGUACCAUUAGCUUGUUGGUAGGGUAAUGGCCUACCAAGGCAACGAUGGUUAGCUGGUCUGAGAGGAUGAUCAGCCACACUGGAACUGACACACGGUCCAGACUCCUACGGGAGGCAGCAGUGAGGAAUUUUGCGCAAUGGGGGAAACCCUGACGCAGCAACGCCGCGUGAGUGAUGAAGGCUUUCGAGUCGUAAAGCUCUGUCAAGUGAGAAGAACCUACUUUUUGUUAAUACCAUUAAGUACUGACGGUAUCACUGAAGGAAGCACCGGCUAACUCCGUGCCAGCAGCCGCGGUAAUACGGAGGGUGCAAGCGUUAUUCGGAAUUAUUGGGCGUAAAGGGCGCGUAGGCGGUCUUUUAAGUCAGAUGUGAAAGCCCGGGGCUCAACCCCGGAAGUGCAUUUGAAACUAAUGGACUUGAGUAUGGGAGAGGGAAGUGGAAUUCCUGGUGUAGAGGUGAAAUUCGUAGAUAUCAGGAGGAACACCGGUGGCGAAGGCGACUUCCUGGACCAAUACUGACGCUGAGGCGCGAAGGCGUGGGGAGCAAACAGGAUUAGAUACCCUGGUAGUCCACGCAGUAAACGGUGAACACUAGGUGUAGCGGGU
RNAcentral lists this ribosomal RNA (765 nucleotides) under uncultured bacterium. RNAcentral's name for it is "bacterial SSU rRNA". It matches the Rfam family "Bacterial small subunit ribosomal RNA", at positions 89 to 830 of the family's 1533-position model. The record is from RNAcentral.